This 416-nucleotide ribosomal RNA is filed under the name uncultured fungus. Its description in RNAcentral is "eukaryotic LSU rRNA". The stretch from base 1 to 113 matches the Rfam family "5.8S ribosomal RNA", at positions 42 to 154 of the family's 154-position model. The record is from RNAcentral. Lineage: Eukaryota; Fungi.
AACGCAGCGAAGGGCGAUACGUAAUGUGAAUUGCAGAAUUCAGUGAAUCAUCGAAUCUUUGAACGCACCUUGCGCCCCUUGGCAUUCCGAGGGGCACACCCGUUUGAGUGUCGUGAAAUCCUCAAAACCCCCCUUUUCUUUCAUCGGAACGGGGAUUUUUGGACUUGGAGGUUCAAUGCUUGCUUUUGCUUUCAAAGGCGAGCUCCUCUUAAAUGAAUCAGUGGGGUCCGCUUUGCUGAUCCUUGACGUGAUAAUAUGUUCUACGUUUUGGAUCUGGCGCUGUUUUUCUCCGCUCCUAAUCGUCUCAUUGACAAUGAUGGUGCUUCGGUCCCCCUGCCAUCUACGUUGGCGGGAGGCUGGACCCACAAAAAUAAAACCUUGACCUCAAAUCGGGUGAGACUACCCGCUGAACUUAA